AUGAUUGUUCUCGAGGUGGGCAGCAAUGGUGACGAUGUGGUUCUCGCAGUGUUUGUAAGGUACGUCGCCUCACAUCCGAGAGUUAGGAGGGUGGAGCUUCUUCGUUUUUGUGUCGGUGUUUGUUGUGUUGCUUCCAAUUUCCGCUUCUUCUUCAUUGUUCCUGCGAAAAACAUAAAUACUUUGUACAUAUUGUUAGUUCUAUAUAUUUAG
Vicia faba (fava bean) is the source of this 210-nucleotide non-coding RNA. The record is from the annotation of a GenBank genome assembly. NCBI's taxonomy places the organism in Eukaryota, Viridiplantae, Streptophyta, Magnoliopsida, Fabales, Fabaceae.